GGGGAUUUAGUUCAGUGGUAGAGCACUUGCCUAGCAAGCGCAAGGCCCUGGGUUCGAUCCCCAGCUCCG
RNAcentral lists this transfer RNA (69 nucleotides) under Rattus norvegicus (Norway rat). It matches the Rfam family "tRNA". Rfam says of the family: Transfer RNA (tRNA) molecules are approximately 80 nucleotides in length. Their secondary structure includes four short double-helical elements and three loops (D, anti-codon, and T loops). Lineage: Eukaryota; Metazoa; Chordata; Mammalia; Rodentia; Muridae. The record is from Rfam by way of RNAcentral.